CCAACUGUGUGAAUUAAUGUGAACUGCAUACUGCUUUGAACAUCGACAUCUUGAACGCACAUUGCGGCCACGGGUUUUCCUGUGGCCACGCCUGUCCGAGGGUCGG
Molecule: ribosomal RNA, 106 nt
Filed under: Paramphistomidae sp. JS-2017
Lineage: Eukaryota; Metazoa; Platyhelminthes; Trematoda; Plagiorchiida; Paramphistomidae
Description: partial 5.8S robosomal RNA
Rfam family: 5.8S ribosomal RNA
About the family: 5.8S ribosomal RNA (5.8S rRNA) is a component of the large subunit of the eukaryotic ribosome. It is transcribed by RNA polymerase I as part of the 45S precursor that also contains 18S and 28S rRNA.
Source: RNAcentral